GCUCAGAGUGAACGCUGGCGGUAGGCCUAACACAUGCAAGUCGAACGGCAGCACAGUAAGAGCUUGCUCUUAUGGGUGGCGAGUGGCGGACGGGUGAGGAAUACAUCGGAAUCUACCUUUUCGUGGGGGAUAACGUAGGGAAACUUACGCUAAUACCGCAUACGACCUUCGGGUGAAAGCAGGGGACCUUCGGGCCUUGCGCGGAUAGAUGAGCCGAUGUCGGAUUAGCUAGUUGGCGGGGUAAAGGCCCACCAAGGCGACGAUCCGUAGCUGGUCUGAGAGGAUGAUCAGCCACACUGGAACUGAGACACGGUCCAGACUCCUACGGGAGGCAGCAGUGGGGAAUAUUGGACAAUGGGCGCAAGCCUGAUCCAGCCAUACCGCGUGGGUGAAGAAGGCCUUCGGGUUGUAAAGCCCUUUUGUUGGGAAAGAAAAGCAGUCGAUUAAUACUCGGUUGUUCUGACGGUACCCAAAGAAUAAGCACCGGCUAACUUCGUGCCAGCAGCCGCGGUAAUACGAAGGGUGCAAGCGUUACUCGGAAUUACUGGGCGUAAAGCGUGCGUAGGUGGUUGUUUAAGUCUGUUGUGAAAGCCCUGGGCUCAACCUGGGAAUUGCAGUGGAUACUGGACGACUAGAGUGUGGUAGAGGGUAGUGGAAUUCCCGGUGUAGCAGUGAAAUGCGUAGAGAUCGGGAGGAACAUCCAUGGCGAAGGCAGCUA
This 718-nucleotide ribosomal RNA is filed under the name Stenotrophomonas sp. RNAcentral describes it as "bacterial SSU rRNA". It matches the Rfam family "Bacterial small subunit ribosomal RNA", at positions 22 to 727 of the family's 1533-position model. Lineage: Bacteria; Pseudomonadati; Pseudomonadota; Gammaproteobacteria; Lysobacterales; Lysobacteraceae. The record is from RNAcentral.